Molecule: small RNA, 284 nt
Filed under: Octodon degus (degu)
Lineage: Eukaryota; Metazoa; Chordata; Mammalia; Rodentia; Octodontidae
Description: 7SK RNA (ENSODEG00000023095.1)
Rfam family: 7SK RNA (bases 1-162)
About the family: 7SK was discovered as an abundant small nuclear RNA in the mid-70s but a possible function has only recently been suggested.
Source: RNAcentral
AUGGAGAUCCAGCUGCGACAUCUGUCACCCCACUGAUUGCCAGGGUUGACUGGGCUGCUCUGGCUGCUAGGCAGGUGUCCCCUCCCUCCCUCACUGCUCCACGUGUGUCCCGCCUGAAGCUGCAUGCUCGGUGGAAGAGGGUGGUCACCCCAGCAGGGGAGGACCGUUCCUCAGCCCGCCUCACAGUCCCUCACUGUCUUUGACACAAAGUCUCCCUAAGUCACUAAAUUGCUCAAGGCUGGGCUUGAACCUUCACUCUUUCCUGGCUCAGCCUCCCAGCAUUU